RNAcentral lists this long non-coding RNA (650 nucleotides) under Phascolarctos cinereus (koala). RNAcentral's name for it is "lncRNA (ENSPCIG00000027996.2)". The record is from RNAcentral. Lineage: Eukaryota; Metazoa; Chordata; Mammalia; Diprotodontia; Phascolarctidae.
UUCCUAUUUGGGGAUGGAAACUAAUUCAGUUACAUCUGAAAAGGACACCAGUCACUCAAUAUAAACAUUUGAAUACAGAUAAUAUUUCUGCACAUGGAACGUCAUUGAGAGAAGUUAUACAAACAUGUAAAGAAAGUACAAAUUAUGGAAGUUCUGCAAAUUCUACAGGGGAAGAAGAAAAAAUUAGAAAAUAUUCCCCAGAAGAGAUUCAGAGAAAGAGACAAGAAGCUCUGAUUCGAAGAAUGUCUAAAGCACGGACAUCAUUUGUGAAUGCAGUGGAGCUCAGGGAGAUUGAACUGGGGACUACUUGCUACAAUUGGAAAUAAGGCUGAAUAACUAUCAUUCAAUACCUACAAUCAUCUCUGUGAUGAAGAUACUUCAAGCUAGUCAAUUUGUUCAUAGUUUCCAGAAGUCUACAGUCUUCACUGGUGGCUGCCAGUUCGCUUAUCAGGUACGUGGCCAUUUUGGAGAAUAUGUUCUGGCACAGCCCCCGAUGUCCACCUCAGCGGGCUUCAUGGCCUCCUUGGUGGUCUCUACUGUGGCAUCGUCUAGGCAGGGGAAGGGAGGAAGGAGAAAGGAUAGAGGGAAAGAUGAGGAUGGGAGAGUAGAGGGAGAGGGAAGGAAAAGGAAGGUAGAGAAAAGGAGAGAGA